UCUGUUUACUCUGCACCCGACAACAACGAGAAUCGUUACAGGCCUAGAUCAUAUCUCCAUUUAUGACGUCAAUAAUCAAAACUAUAUUAUUUAACUUUUUACUCUUUUCUAACAUUAUCAUACAAUUUGUAUUAUAGGACCGUUUUAUACAACGAUACAUUCAUACAAGACAAAGCCUGUCGAAUGUUGUAUGGCACGUCACACCAAUCUUUAUUUGAAGAAUAUUUCGUACUGAAUCGAUACUGUAUUAACAAUUAUAUAAGAUUCAUCCAUCAUUCAUGAAUAGUUGAAUACAUUAAACUUUCCAGUAUAAGUCCAUACAAAAUAAUAUUAGGCAUAAACACUUGAACCACGAUAACUGAUGAAAUUCAUCUGCUAUGGCUUUCAGUCCCAGAAAAUUAUGGGACAAAUUAAACAAGUCUCGAACUUCUUGACGCAGGAAAAAAAAAGGAAUUGGGAUGAAAAAUUCGUUCUUAAUAAACUUAAGAAACAACCAAAGCACAUAUAUUUCGAUUAAUCUCGAGUCUUGUUACAAUGGUUGUAUUAUGUUGACAGAUUUCAACUCAGUUUUUUUGUACAGUAAGUGUAGAUACUGUCAUUAAUUAAGCGAUUGACACUUAAAUUUUGGUCCAUGAAAAUUCAUGCACAGCGCUUCUAGUUAGUUAACAUAUAUACCUAAACAACAUGCAUGGUUUAAGUUCGGGGUGGUGUUGAUAUCUAAUCCAUUCAUUUCAAAAUCUGGUUGAAAACAUCUUUCAAAUCUUCAAUAUGACUAGAGAGGUUGAUAUGUAGAAUAUAGAUUUGUUAUAAAGAAGGAUCUGAUAAGUGUACUAAACACUUUUUUACCGUAUAAAGAUUGAAGUCAAACAAAAAAAGGAGGAGUCAAAACAAAAUAAGGCUCUUUGUGAUUACCCCACAACGAAAAUGAAACAACACACACACUUUGUCUCCAGAUUCCUUUCUUUUGUCAUUUCUCGUGUUUCUCCCAAAGUAUUCAACAAAAACACAAUCCUAGUUAUUCUCUAAUAUCUCAAAAGCCAAAUAAUACAACAAAAGAGUAUUAAAUAUAAACAAAGAUCCACAUUCACGGCAGCACAAUUUUCUUAAAAUAUAGCACUAAUGGCAAUGCAAUUAUAUGUCUACUCUACAUUACAUGUUUUAUAGAUGAGCUAGGCCUACGUUCUUAUAAUUCACAUUCAUCAGAGAAACAAAGAGUCUAAGAUGAAAAAUGAUCAUGAACAUCAUUAAGUAGACCUGAAGAGACAAUUAGAGAAACAAAAAUCAGUUUUAAUCUUUACCUCUUCGGUGGAUGAUUUUUUUCAUAUAUUAUUCUCUUUGGAGCCAAAAUUAAUCCCGAGUCGAAUCAAUUGACACCUAUACUGAACUAAAAAAGCAAAAGACAAAUCUACACACAAUGAAACUAUUAUAUUUCUCCAAAUCAAAAGAAGAACUAUUAUGUUUCUCUUUCUUUUUCUCCUUUGUUUUCCAAAAUCAUCUACAAAGAUGAGUUGGUAGGGUCCAGUCACAGUUGAUUCUCUGUCAAUGUAUUAUCUUCUCUCUCACCAACACACUCACAACGACAAGAGAGAGAUAGAGAAAAGAGUGAAGAGAGAGAGAAUUGUAGUCACCAAAUAGACCAAACCCUGAAGUUAAAUUCACACCAGCUACUUUGGUCAUUACCACAUCCAUAAACACACACUCUCUCUCUUUGCCUCUCUCUCUCUCUCCUCUUCUCAAAGCUUUCAACUUCCUUCAAUGGCGAAAGGAAAUUCACAUGACUUCACCUCCAAGAGACACAAUAGUUUCCACUGGACACGAAAAGUCGGUUCAGAUGAAAACGACGACGUUUCUUCCAAUAACCCACUUCCUGACAACACUAAACCCGUUUCCAAACACAAUCCUUCCUCUUCCUCUUCCUCUUCCUCUACUGUAAUCACUCCAAAAAGGAAACUACAAUCCUUCGCCGUUUCUCGUCUCCGGUCAGUCAUCGCUUCUCUCAGCAGAGCCCGACCCGGUAACAACUCCGGACUCGGGUCACGGGUCGUGGGUACACUUUUCGGAUCCCGUCGCGGACACGUGCAUUUCUCUAUCCAGAAAGAUCCAACUUCCCCUCCGGCGUUUCUAAUCGAACUCGCUACUCCGAUCAGUGGUUUAGUCAAGGAGAUGGCUUCGGGACUCGUCAGAAUCGCUCUGGAAUGCGAUAAGGCCAAGGAGGAAGAAAAAGAAGAAGGAGAAAACGGAAAUCGCCGUCACGGCGGAGGAGAUAAGACGAAGACGGUGAUUCCACGGCGGUUGGUGGAGGAGCCGAUUUGGAGGACAUAUUGCAACGGCAAAAAGUGUGGGUUCGCGACGAGGAGAGACUGUGGUGAGAAGGAGAAAAAGGUCUUGAAGGCGCUCGAGAUGGUUUCCAUGGGCGCCGGAGUUUUACCGGACACGGAGGAGACAUUCGCCGGCGGCGGCGGCGGUGGCGGUGGAGAUAUAAUGUAUAUGAGGGCGAAAUUCGAGCGAAUCGUUGGGUCGCGUGAUUCUGAAGCUUUCUAUAUGAUGAAUCCUGAUAGUAAUGGAGCUCCUGAGCUCAGUAUCUAUCUACUCAGAAUCUAAUGAAGAAGAUGAUCCUACCAAAAGCUUCUACUUCAAAAAGAAGGUUUAACGGUUAAGGAAAAAUUUUCCGGUUUAAUUACUUAAAUAGUUGGUUAAGUGGUUCUUUCGGGAAUUAAAGUAGCGAUGUCUAAUACUCAAAUAUUCGUAUUUGAAUCGAAAACGACAUAUCUGUUAUUGCAAGUCGGAUUAGAUGUGAAUGUAAUCGAUCGAUCGAUAAUGUGUUAGAGCAGGUUUUUGUUUUUUGGGGGGGUGGGUUUAGAAGUUUUAAAAUUUGGUAUAUGAUUUGGACCGGAGGACUUGUAAAUGUAUAAAUUUCGUUUUUUAAUGCCUAAUCUUUUGUUUUUCUUCAAAUGUUUAUGCUAUAAUGGGGGCACCGAGCCUGUGGAAUCAUAAUGAUUAAAGUCUCGAUUUGUUUCACAUUCCAUUAGUAUCCUGGUCACUAAAUUAUGCUUUAAAGUGUAAUAAAACCAUCAUUGAUUUUCUCUGAUCCAAGAAUAAUAAUAAUAGACUGAAUUGUAUGGACCAUUUGGAGUUUUGGACCAUACAUUGUAAAGAGUACGCGUAUCGACUAUAAUGACGCAUUAUACUUAGAGAUUUUGAUAUUCCGGUAUGUGGGUCAAUCUAUUAAAUUUCCAUAAUUCGGUAACAACUAGCUUACACACACUGAUAUAUUAGUUAUAAAAUAUCGAUUUUUUCCUUAAACUAAAAAGGAAUAUAAAGCUUGAGAUACACUGUAAUAAGAUUCAUCAAUUACUUUGGGUGUUGAGAACUUGAGAUUGUCUUCCAUGCUAUUAUGCAAUUAGGUGAUUAUAGUAUUUACAACCAAAUUACAAGUAUAAUCUUUAAAGGGCAUUCUCGUCAUUCAUAUAGAAUCAGACGACGUACAAUGUUUUACUGGUGUCGUAUGUCUUUUCCCUAGUUUCAAGGCUUUACCUUUUUUGGUUAUAUCAAACUCUAUAUAGUAUUUAAAUACCGGGAGCCUCUGUUUCUUUUUAUUUUCAUGGUAUAUAUAUUUUUUUUUUUGUCAACUUAUUUUCAUGGUAUAUUAAUAUUCCAAAAUCUUUUGUAAAUUAAGGAAACAGUAAUUCAUAAUUCGGAAACAGAAGAGUUAAGCAAAUAAAUGUGAAAAUAAUAAAUAAUCCUACUAGAUAAUUGUUUCCAUAAUAAACUUUGUCUUUCCCCAGAAAAAGCAGGCGCUUGAACAUUCACAAAGCCCAGAUCCGAUUAAGAUUACACUGCACGAUACUCAAGGGACGUGUCUUCUUUUUUUUUUCUUUUUCUUUUAUUAGCGUUAAAGAACAUGUUUACUAAUAAGAAGAAGAAUAGAAUUUCUUCAUGAGAAUUUGCAAAAGAGACAAAAGCUGGUGCCUACAACAAUUAAGUUUAUAAGAAAAAGAGAAGGAACAAAAAAGCAUGUUGAGUCGUUGAUUGCUUUAUAUCCUUAUGCAGUUAAUAUACGAAAUUUGACUACAGUUACAAGCCAUCUCUUUCUUUUUACUAUUAUCUUUAAGAAAAGUUAGUGUUUAGCAGUGUUAUUUAGUAUAAUUUGAGAUAUUUUUACUGUUUGUUUUACAUAUGUAUAAAUGACACUGAGUGUUAUUUUUAGAACAAAUGUGUCAUGGUUAUAUCGAGUGUUCGACUGUCUUAAGAAUUUAUCCCAUUAGUCAUUACUAUUAUACUUAGGUAGGGUGUUAAUUCUUUUGAAUUUGUUUACAUCUUGACUGAUAUUACCAAUUAUUAGCUAGUUUUCAAUUUUGACACAUGUUUGAAUACCUUAAGCUUCGGCUUCUAUUGCCUAACUAAUUACUAUAUAGAAGGGCAUGGUUUGAAACAUGGCAAAAGAUGCAUGGUUUGAAACAUGACAAAAGAUGCAAACCUCACUUCGCAUACAUCACAUCUAUUAAUUUUUGGAUAUAAAACACAAUUCUGACGAAAUUUUGGUAGGAACAAAAUGUUAUUUUCAGCACUCUCUUAUCGUUUUUAUAACUAUUUUCAUGAGGUUUUGACCGUUUUGUAGUCGCGUUGCAGUAACAAAUAUAUUAUACUCUACUAGUAAGUACCACAUGCCAAUUCAUGGAACAUUGUUUCAAGAUAUAGAGCCAUACCACUUGUAUGACAUGCCAUGUAGACUCGAAUGAGUAUUCUUCACAAGAACCUUGAAUUGGUUUGUCUUCAAGCAAAACUUGAGGACACGCGAGUGAAGACUUUGCAACUGAGUCAAAGUUGUACUCUCCCUCUAAUGCCAUCACAAUCUUUCCUUAUGCAAACUCCAUCAGCUGAGAGAACAUUGGUGAUAACAUAUUAAAUGAGGUCGAAUCCAAGUGUAGAUUGUGUAGAUUAUGUAGCGCAACACUUGGCUAAAAAACCAGCCAAAUCAAGUAGUGUAUUCAAAAUUUUAGUUUUCAAUUUUUACUAGGAUUUAAUUAUAAACACAUUACAUUAAGUUGCAGUGACAUACCGGAAAAAUAUAAUUACAUAAAAGAAAAGAAAUAAAGAAUAGAUAUUGUGAUAUAACAAAUAAAUAGUUUAUGCUUUUAUGGUUUGUAAUAAAGGAUUGUAGACUAUAAUAUUUCUAUCGAAUAGAUUUGAUGCAACUUUCAUGCAUCACCUGAUCAAAAUUUGUGCACACAGUCAAUAUUUUUUUGGAUUCAUGGUGUUUAAAAAUGGUUCAUAUGGUUUAUGGUUUGAUUUUAAUAUUGGAGAAAAAGACUUACAUGUUAAAAGAGCAUAUUAAACAUUUAGUUCUACAGUAUUCGCCUUAUGAAUAUGGUUUGGAAAAAAAUUCAUGUGCUUAAAACAAACCACCUUUUAUGCUUUUGAAUCUAUAUACGGCUUAUUGAUGAAAAACCAGUGAUCUUCUUAAAUUUGGGUUAUGAUUGAGCCAAUAGUAAUCACUCUCGGACGUAUCCAUUUAUGGUAUAAACUUUCUCCUUCAAUGCGUUAAAUAUUACUUUAACAUCUUAGGCUCCUAACUAUGGUUAAUCUAAAUAUCACUUGAAAACACCUUAGACUCCUAAAGUCCUUAUUAUGAUUAAAAAUACUUUUAAUUUGAAGAUUGGAAACUUCUCAAAAUUAAUAAAUCUUAUGCCAUGAACCAGAUUUGAAUUGGUGACACAAAGAUUAAUGGAUCUCACACGAUGUAUUUAACUAUUAUUUAUUAUGGUCUUCUGAUUACGGCUCACUAUUCGCUAAAGUCUGAUAAAAAUACACCUAACCGUCCGGUUUGGUAGUACAAUUUCGUUUUCACAUUAUCCGAUUUGUGGGAUAACUCUAUAUUCCACAUUUUCGUAUAACUGAAAUUUGAUUCUCUAGAAAACCGAGCAACCAGAUUCAUAUAUAGAUAAAUCAAAGUCAAAAUCCAAGUCAUUCAUUAACCAACAUAAAAACUACUUAAAGUUAAAGUUAAACUAAACCAGAUCGGUUCUCAAAACCAGACAAGCUAAUAAAAACAUAAAAAUUAUGUUAGUAAUUUGGGUACAAGGGAAUCAUUCAUGAGAGCGACCGUCUUUUUACUAAAGAGCAAUAUUAGAGAUUUGGAACUUAUAAAGGUUGUAGAAAAGGUAAGUGAGAUUUACUGUUUUAUAUUUUCUGAUGGAAACUUAGGUACUCAUCUUCAUCUUCUUGGCAUUCGUAUGCAUUAUUCCUUCAUUCACCUCAUAUCCAUCUGGAUCCCAUGUCCUCCUCUGAGUCAGUGUUCCAUGGAUAAUUUUUCUCUCAUUUUGUGUAUCUUCUUCUUCCUCAUAGUCUUUGAAUCCUAUUGUUUGCCUUAUCCAUUGCAGCAAAGUUCCUGAUUGCCAUCACUGUCAUAUCCACUGCUUGUUAUCACUAAUUUAUUUUUAGAUUAUGUAUUUAAU
Molecule: long non-coding RNA, 6455 nt
Filed under: Eutrema salsugineum
Lineage: Eukaryota; Viridiplantae; Streptophyta; Magnoliopsida; Brassicales; Brassicaceae
Description: long non-coding RNA (ESAL_LNC000437)
Source: RNAcentral